AGAGUUUGAUCCUGGCUCAGGACGAACGCUGGCGGCGUGCUUAACACAUGCAAGUCGAACGGAGCGCCAUGGAAUGAGGUUUCGGCCAAAGGAAAUGGUUGCUUAGUGGCGGACUGGUGAGUAACGCGUGAGGAACCUGCCUUUCAGAGGGGGACAACAGUUGGAAACGACUGCUAAUACCGCAUAAGACCACAGCACCGCAUGGUGCAGGGGUAAAAACUCCGGUGGUACAGGAUGGACCCGCGUCUGAUUAGCUGGUUGGUGAGGUAACGGCUCACCAAGGCGACGAUCAGUAGCCGGCUUGAGAGAGUGAACGGCCACAUUGGGACUGAGACACGGCCCAAACUCCUACGGGAGGCAGCAGUGGGGAAUAUUGCACAAUGGGGGAAACCCUGAUGCAGCGACGCCGCGUGAGCGAUGAAGUAUUUCGGUAUGUAAAGCUCUAUCAGCAGGGAAGAUAAUGACGGUACCUGACUAAGAAGCUCCGGCUAAAUACGUGCCAGCAGCCGCGGUAAUACGUAUGGAGCAAGCGUUAUCCGGAUUUACUGGGUGUAAAGGGAGCGUAGGCGGUCCUGCAAGUCUGAUGUGAAAACCCGGGGCUCAACCCCGGGACUGCAUUGGAAACUGUAGGACUAGAGUGUCGGAGGGGUAAGUGGAAUUCCUAGUGUAGCGGUGAAAUGCGUAGAUAUUAGGAGGAACACCAGUGGCGAAGGCGGCUUACUGGACGACCACUGACGCUGAGGCUCGAAAGCGUGGGGAGCAAACAGGAUUAGAUACCCUGGUAGUCCACGCCGUAAACGA
This 801-nucleotide ribosomal RNA is filed under the name uncultured bacterium. RNAcentral describes it as "bacterial SSU rRNA". It matches the Rfam family "Bacterial small subunit ribosomal RNA", at positions 8 to 809 of the family's 1533-position model. The record is from RNAcentral.